CCGAGUUUACAACUCCCAAACCCCUGUGAACAUACCACUUGUUGCCUCGGCGGAUCAGCCCGCUCCCGGUAAAACGGGACGGCCCGCCAGAGGACCCCUAAACUCUGUUUCUAUAUGUAACUUCUGAGUAAAACCAUAAACAAAUCA
Molecule: unclassified non-coding RNA, 147 nt
Filed under: soil metagenome
Description: partial internal transcribed spacer 1
Source: RNAcentral